AUACCUCACCUGAUGUAUCCUAGGAUUGCAUUAGCCUUGACCCCUGCGAUUUCCCCAAAUGCGGGAAACUUGACUGCAUAAUUUGUGGUAGUGGGGGACUGCGUUCGCGCUCUCCCCUG
Molecule: small nuclear RNA, 119 nt
Filed under: Terrapene triunguis (Three-toed box turtle)
Lineage: Eukaryota; Metazoa; Chordata; Testudines; Emydidae
Description: Terrapene carolina triunguis (Three-toed box turtle) U1 spliceosomal RNA (ENSTMTG00000000896.1)
Rfam family: U1 spliceosomal RNA
About the family: U1 is a small nuclear RNA (snRNA) component of the spliceosome (involved in pre-mRNA splicing). Its 5' end forms complementary base pairs with the 5' splice junction, thus defining the 5' donor site of an intron.
Source: RNAcentral